RNAcentral lists this long non-coding RNA (1912 nucleotides) under Solanum lycopersicum (tomato). RNAcentral describes it as "partial TCONS_00116465". Lineage: Eukaryota; Viridiplantae; Streptophyta; Magnoliopsida; Solanales; Solanaceae. The record is from RNAcentral.
CAAAAUUUUAAAUGAGAGGCAGGAAAUGCCAAACUAAAGCUUAAGUUAAUAAAAACACUUUCAAAAACCCCUCUCUCCAAAAAAGAUAAAAAAAAUAAGUUAAAAAAUGGAGAAAUCCAAAAUCAAGUCAGAUAUUUUAGAUAGCAUGGAAAAUCAAGAAACAAAGGAAAUUAAACCCUCACACACGAGACCAUGAUCGACAGUCCAUCUGUGAGUCGACGGUCACUGUGCCCUUCCAUGCUGGACAUCCGUCGUUCUUGUUAGAGACUAUAAAAUUGAGGUUCUUCAUAAAAAAGUCUAAGUUUUGGUCUAAGGUUGGCAAUGACGCCCCGUCUAUCCACACACGGAUAGUCGACUAUGUCUCGUGGUUACACACUGUCCAAGUAGUUGGUCCUUGGGGAGUCGUACUCGGACAUUUAGACCAUGAAUCAUAUUAAAAAUAUGUUAUACACCCUUCCACAUAAUUUCAUGAAUUUCUAACUUCUAAACCUAGUCAAAUAAGCUAAGGUACGCUAGUAGCCCUUAUAACAAGUUUCCGAACGUCAUGGAUGUUCUUGGCUGUUUGGUUCCUAAACUUGCUAAAUGGACUAUAUUAAUUAUAACAAGCCUUAAAAAGUGUUUAGACCCCAUGGCACCUAUGCUAGUAUUCAAGACACAUCUUGAUUUUCGAAAUGUUAGAAAUAGUAACCAUCACAACAUGCGAUACGUCUCUCGAAAUAUACAAUCCAUUACGGGGAGCGAUACGUCCAUCGAAAUGGUACAUCCUCUUUAAGUUCUCAUUCUUUAUCAAUGCACAUAACACUUGUAACAACUAUGUCUCAUUAUAAUGCAAAUGACAUGUUCACACAAAUAAUGAGAAGAUGACCAUUUUCAUAUUUUUGCACAACUCACAGCAACACAAACAUGAUAUCACAUGAAAAACGAUUCAACAAGCCUUCAAACCUUAUCAAGACAUCACACAUAAAUAAUUAAUCACACUGCUUUUUGUUACCCCUUUUUCAUCCUUAAAAUUCAUCAAUGUGGAAAAAUCAACACAUCACAAAAUGCCAUUUUUCCCAAACAAAUACCAAAAUGAAAUACAUGCAUUCCAUACACUUAACAUGAGUUUAGAAAUCCACUUGCCUGAAAUAGUCGAACAAUGACUCCAGAACUUGAAUCUUCCUCUUUCAGUUAACUUCCAAACCAAUAAAAUCUAUUCAAAUAAAGAUUUCAAAAUUAUAAACACCUACAUCACAAUAGAUAUGUCUAGCCUAGACCUAAAACCUAACCCCAAAUCGAUAAUCAAGAUUCAAAAUAUUGAUUCCAAGCAAUAGGUCUAAUAUAAUCUUUCACAUAUUUACUAUCUAGGGUUAAGUCAUAAUUUCUCGAAACACUAUAACCCUAAUAGUUUUCAUAUAAUAUAAUACACUCAACAUUUACUUAGUAAUCUUAAUAUUCCAAAGCUUGAGUCAUAAUAUGAAAAUUAUAGAAAAUGCCUAAAUUUCAUGAUAAGUCAUGCCACAAGGAACCUACGCCAUGAAACAGUAGCAAAAUUCCAACAAUUUGCAGCCAUUGAUUAAUCCAUCAUUUUUAUUAUUAAUAUUUUUUUAUAGUCCUCAAUAAUUGACCUUAAAUUCCAAUUCAAGUUUUAGUUAGCAGCCCUUAAUACUCGUAUAAAAACAAAACUAAAGUUUCACCAAAUACAAUAAUAUGUUGAACAUAUAUAUACAUACAAACUAACACCUAGCAUAACUAUGUUACGAUAUGGAUAUAUUUUUAUUUUUUAUUUUUACCUGAAGCAAUCACGAAAGAAUUAUGGUCUUCUCUUCUGGUGGUCACCGCAUGGUCAUCCUUUCGCUCAGAAGGUGUUAUAUUUCCCUUGCACAAUUUAUGAUUUACAAUUAUUAAAUCUUACUAAAUUAUUUCAAUAUAU